RNAcentral lists this unclassified non-coding RNA (162 nucleotides) under uncultured Auriculariales. RNAcentral describes it as "sequence contains ITS1". Lineage: Eukaryota; Fungi; Basidiomycota; Agaricomycetes; Auriculariales. The record is from RNAcentral.
AAGAUUCGGCCAUCCGGCCACCAAUCUCUUCGGCUGUGCGCCUCGGCUGCACGUCGUCGAACCUCACACACCUGUGCACCACAUCGGUCGCGAUCUUAACGGGUCGCUUCCGCCUUUCACAUUUAAACACAAAAGUCCAGAAUGUAAAAAACCAUAAUGUAA